RNAcentral lists this ribosomal RNA (469 nucleotides) under uncultured Methanomicrobiales archaeon. RNAcentral's name for it is "bacterial SSU rRNA". It matches the Rfam family "Archaeal small subunit ribosomal RNA", at positions 871 to 1337 of the family's 1478-position model. Lineage: Archaea; Methanobacteriati; Methanobacteriota; Methanomicrobia; Methanomicrobiales. The record is from RNAcentral.
ACGGGGAGCACCACAACAGGUGGAGCCUGCGGUUUAAUCGGACUCAACGCCGGGAAACUCACCAGAUAAGACAGCUGAAUGAUAGUCGGGCUGAAGACUCUACUUGACUAGCUGAGAGGAGGUGCAUGGCCGUCGUCAGUUCGUACUGUGAAGCAUCCUGUUAAGUCAGGCAACGAGCGAGACCCACGCCAACAGUUGCCAGCUCGUCCUCCGGGAUGGUGGGGACACUGUUGGGACCGCCUCUGCUAAAGAGGAGGAAGGAAUGGGCAACGGUAGGUCAGCAUGCCCCGAAUUAUCUGGGCUACACGCGGGCUACAAUGGGUGGGACAAUGGGUAUCGACACCGAAAGGUGAAGGCAAUCUCCUAAACCCAUCCGUAGUUCGGAUUGUGGGCUGCAACUCGCCCACAUGAAGCUGGAAUCUGUAGUAAUCGUGUUUCAAAUAGCACGGUGAAUAUGUCCCUGCUCCUU